RNAcentral lists this long non-coding RNA (312 nucleotides) under Malus domestica (apple). Its description in RNAcentral is "long non-coding RNA (MDOM_LNC015534)". Lineage: Eukaryota; Viridiplantae; Streptophyta; Magnoliopsida; Rosales; Rosaceae. The record is from RNAcentral.
CUUAGAUCAAAUACAUCCCUUGGAUUCCCUUAUUACUUAAACACAUGAUACAAUAAAUAGUGAUCAACAAUAAGUUUUGCCCUUCAUUAAACAUAUAAAAGUUUAAUACAUUAAGUAUUCCAAAAAGCUAUUACAUCAAAUGAGUGGCUUUGUGGGCAUACUUCGAACACUAGCAGCAUAUCAUGGUUACCCAAGCUAAGUAGAAGUGGUUGGAGAACCUAUCCAGUUACAACUACAAUGCAAUACAGUCCUUCUCUAAUACAAUACUCUUAAUCACAUUGUUUAAGUGAUAGUUUGUUUCAUGUCUACUAU